AGAGAUUGNUUCUGGNUNAGGAUGAACGCUGGCGGUCUGCUUAACACAUGNAAGUCGAACGGAGUACUUCGGUACUUAGUGGCGGACGGGUGAGUAACGCGUGAGGAUCUGCCCUCAGGAGGGGGACAACGACUGGAAACGGUCGCUAAUACCCCAUAUGCCGAGAGGUGAAAUGUUUUUUCGCCUGAGGAUGAGCUCGCGUCAGAUUAGCUAGUUGGUGGGGUAACGGCCUACCAAGGCGACGAUCUGUAGCUGGUCUGAGAGGAUGAUCAGCCACACUGGGACUGAGACACGGCCCAGACUCCUACGGGAGGCAGCAGUGGGGAAUUUUCCGCAAUGGGCGAAAGCCUGACGGAGCAAGACCGCGUGAGGGAUGACGGCCUAAUGGUUGUAAACCUCUUUUCUCUGGGAAGAUAAUGGACGGUACCAGAGGAAUAAGCCUCGGCUAACUCCGUGCCAGCAGCCGCGGUAAUACGGAGGAGGCAAGCGUUAUCCGGAAUUAUUGGGCGUAAAGCGUCCGUAGGUGGUUAAUCAAGUCAGCUGUUAAAGAGCGGAGCUCAACUCCGUUAGAGCGGUUGAAACUGAUUGACUAGAGUUUGGUAGGGGUCGAGGGAAUUCCCAGUGUAGCGGUGAAAUGCGUAGAUAUUGGGAAGAACACCGGUGGCGAAAGCGCUCGACUGGGCCUGAACUGACACUGAGGGACGAAAGCUAGGGGAGCGAAAGGGAUUAGAUACCCCUGUAGUC
This 744-nucleotide ribosomal RNA is filed under the name uncultured Antarctic cyanobacterium. Its description in RNAcentral is "bacterial SSU rRNA". It matches the Rfam family "Bacterial small subunit ribosomal RNA", at positions 8 to 795 of the family's 1533-position model. Lineage: Bacteria; Bacillati; Cyanobacteriota. The record is from RNAcentral.